AUUCCUACGGGAGGCAGCAGUGGGGAAUAUUGGACAAUGGGGGCAACCCUGAUCCAGCAAUGCCGCGUGUGUGAAGAAGGCCUGAGGGUUGUAAAGCACUUUCAGUGGGGAGGAGGAUUGAUAGGUUAAGAGCUAAUUGAUUGGACGUUACCCACAGAAGAAGCACCGGCUAACUCCGUGCCAGCAGCCGCGGUAAUACGGAGGGUGCGAGCGUUAAUCGGAAUUACUGGGCGUAAAGCGUGCGUAGGUGGUUGGCUAAGUUAUCUGUAAAAUCCCCGGGCUUAACCUGGGCAGGUCAGAUAAUACUGGUUGACUCGAGUAUGGGAGAGGGUAGUGGAAUUUCCGGUGUAGCGGUGAAAUGCGUAGAGAUCGGAAGGAACACCAGUGGCGAAGGCGGCUACCUGGCCUAAUACUGACACUGAGGCACGAAAGCGUGGGGAGCAAACAGGAUUAGAUACCCUGGUAGUCCACGCCGUAAACGAUGUCAACUAGCUGUUGGUCAUAUUGAUAUGAUUAGUGGCGUAGCUAACGCGAUAAGUUGACCGCCUGGGGAGUACGGUCGCAAGACUGAAACUCAAAGGAAUUGACGGAU
Molecule: ribosomal RNA, 592 nt
Filed under: uncultured bacterium
Lineage: Bacteria
Description: bacterial SSU rRNA
Rfam family: Bacterial small subunit ribosomal RNA
Source: RNAcentral